RNAcentral lists this ribosomal RNA (253 nucleotides) under uncultured bacterium. RNAcentral's name for it is "partial 16S ribosomal RNA". It matches the Rfam family "Bacterial small subunit ribosomal RNA", at positions 524 to 776 of the family's 1533-position model. The record is from RNAcentral.
UACGAGGGGGGCAAAUGUUGUUCGGAAUCACUGGGCGUAAAGGGUGCGUAGGCGGGUCUUUAAGUCAGGGGGGAAAUCCUGGAGCUCAACUCCAGAACUGCCUUUGAUACUGGAGAGCUAGAGUCCGGAAGAGGUGAGUGGAACUGCGAGUGUAGAGGUGAAAUUCGUAGAUAUUCGCAAGAACACCAGUGGCGAAGGCGGCUCACUGGUCCGGUACUGACGCUGAGGUGCGAAAGCGUGGGGAGCAAACAGG